UCAAUUAAAUAUUUUAUUCAUCAUCUAAUUCACUUUAUACUAUUUUUGGUAUAUUUUCAAAGUUGGACUACUGUUACUGUCCAAAUCUGUUUUAGUAUAAAACGUUGAUAACUAAGUUUAUAACAUCUUCAUUUCUUCUCUCUACAACAUUUACCAACAAUUCCUCUUAUUACUCUUCACUAACAUAUCAAAACAUACCAAACUUAAGGUUUUGGUAACAUUUACAAAACAUACCAAAAUAUCACUUAACAACUUAGAUACUUUCAAAAUAACCAAAAGACAUCCUAGGUACAAUGCCAUUUUCUAAAAAGAUAGAAACUUCACCAAUUUGAGUUUGGGGAUCGGCUUGUAUGCUGAGUCCUUAUACUUUCGUACCUAGCCUGCGCACGGAAACAAACCGUACGCUGAGAAUACUCUCAGUGGUAUUUCUAUAAACAAUAGCUUAAUCAACUUUAAAACAUGGUAAUUCAAACACAUUAUUGCUAUUAUUCAAUAUCAAUCAGUACUUUAAUAACCUUUACUUUAUUUACCCUUAUUAACAUAACUCGAACACUAACGGAUACACGGAUCCAACCCACACUCCGGGAUAAGCACAUAGUGCUUCAUCGGAACAAAUUCGGAACUUUAACAUUAUAGUACACAAAGUACUUCAUCGGAACAAAUCCGGAACUUUAACAGUAGUCGACACAUAGUGUCUCAUCGACUCAAUGUCGGAAUAUCCCAAUACUUCUAAUUCCUAUGACAUGUCAACUAUAUCCGACUAGCCCGACACUGUUAAUAGGGUAUUCAAAAUCACAUUCAUUUCAAUAUGGUAAAAAUACUUACCUCAUUCACAUUUUCAUACAAUAUAAAUAUCAAAUAUAGCAAUAACGAUUAAGCUCGGUUUAUAGAAAUACAAACCACUAUUUAUCGAAUUUAAUCGAUAUCUUCGUUCACUUUCUCUUUUCCCUUCUUUGAUGACGUAUCCGGUGCUACGUUUGCUACUAACAAUCAUACAAUUAAAAAU
Molecule: long non-coding RNA, 1006 nt
Filed under: Gossypium barbadense (sea-island cotton)
Lineage: Eukaryota; Viridiplantae; Streptophyta; Magnoliopsida; Malvales; Malvaceae
Description: long non-coding RNA (GBAR_LNC012977)
Source: RNAcentral